GUACCUUUUGGUUCGGAACAACUGAGGGAAACUUCAGCUAAUACCGGAUAAGCCCUUACGGGGAAAGAUUUAUCGCCGAAAGAUCGGCCCGCGUCUGAUUAGCUAGUUGGUGAGGUAAUGGCUCACCAAGGCGACGAUCAGUAGCUGGUCUGAGAGGAUGAUCAGCCACAUUGGGACUGAGACACGGCCCAAACUCCUACGGGAGGCAGCAGUGGGGAAUAUUGGACAAUGGGCGCAAGCCUGAUCCAGCCAUGCCGCGUGAGUGAUGAAGGCCCUAGGGUUGUAAAGCUCUUUUGUGCGGGAAGAUAAUGACGGUACCGCAAGAAUAAGCCCCGGCUAACUUCGUGCCAGCAGCCGCGGUAAUACGAAGGGGGCUAGCGUUGCUCGGAAUCACUGGGCGUAAAGGGUGCGUAGGCGGGUCUUUAAGUCAGGGGUGAAAUCCUGGAGCUCAACUCCAGAACUGCCUUUGAUACUGAAGAUCUUGAGUUCGGGAGAGGUGAGUGGAACUGCG
This 511-nucleotide ribosomal RNA is filed under the name Bradyrhizobium sp. RNAcentral describes it as "bacterial SSU rRNA". It matches the Rfam family "Bacterial small subunit ribosomal RNA", at positions 126 to 671 of the family's 1533-position model. The record is from RNAcentral. Lineage: Bacteria; Pseudomonadati; Pseudomonadota; Alphaproteobacteria; Hyphomicrobiales; Nitrobacteraceae.